This 393-nucleotide long non-coding RNA is filed under the name Brassica napus (rape). RNAcentral describes it as "long non-coding RNA (BNAP_LNC022626)". Lineage: Eukaryota; Viridiplantae; Streptophyta; Magnoliopsida; Brassicales; Brassicaceae. The record is from RNAcentral.
AAGAAAAAAGAAAAGAAAAAAAGAAAAGGGAGCUAGCAAAGUUGUUUAGAGCUAAGAUUUGUUUAGAAGUUAAGAAAUUCCUUUAUAGAUUUCAAAGAAAAAUAGUUUUAUGUGCAAAAUGUUCUUGAGAUCUUUUGGUGAGAGAUGCGAGUUGGGUUUGACAUUAUGAAGUGAUUGUGUAACUUAUAUAUUUGGGAAAAAGGUAGAACAAUGGAGAUUGAGCAUUGUAUGCAUGAGUUGGUCCCUUUCUUAGAUAUAUUAUGUGCAAUGUCAAGGCUACUCGUUUUGAGAGUAAACCACUUUAAAAGAUCAUGGAUUUCGAACCUCUUGACCCACUUGAAUAAAAGUCUUUCCUUACUCAACCAAAUGAUUUGGACCAAUUGACCAUUUGCA